Molecule: ribosomal RNA, 254 nt
Filed under: uncultured bacterium
Lineage: Bacteria
Description: partial 16S ribosomal RNA
Rfam family: Bacterial small subunit ribosomal RNA
Source: RNAcentral
UACGUAGGGCGCGAGCGUUGUCCGGAUUUAUUGGGCGUAAAGAGCUCGUAGGCGGCUUGUUACGUCGACUGUGAAAACCCGCGGCUCAACCGUGUGGCUUGCAGUCGAUACGGGCAGGCUAGAGUUCGGUAGGGGAGACUGGAAUUCCUGGUGUAGCGGUGAAAUGCGCAGAUAUCGGGAGGAACACCUAUGGCGAAAGCAGCUCUCUGGGACGGUACUGACGCUGAGACGCGAAAGCGUGGGGAGCGAACAGG